This 16-nucleotide transfer RNA is filed under the name Anemone quinquefolia. Its description in RNAcentral is "partial tRNA-Leu". RNAcentral also lists the same sequence under 2 other names. Lineage: Eukaryota; Viridiplantae; Streptophyta; Magnoliopsida; Ranunculales; Ranunculaceae. The record is from RNAcentral.
UCUAUCCCCAUCCCCA